UGGGGAAUUUUGGACAAUGGGGGCAACCCUGAUCCAGCCAUUCCGCGUGAGUGAAGAAGGCCUUCGGGUUGUAAAGCUCUUUCAGCAGGAACGAAACGGUCGGCUUUAAUAAAGUCGGCUAAUGACGGUACCUGCAGAAGAAGCACCGGCUAACUACGUGCCAGCAGCCGCGGUAAUACGUAGGGUGCGAGCGUUAAUCGGAAUUACUGGGCGUAAAGCGUGCGCAGGCGGCGACAUAAGACAGAUGUGAAAUCCCCGGGCUCAACCUGGGAACUGCGUUUGUGACUGUGUUGCUAGAGUGUAGCAGAGGGGGGUGGAAUUCCACGUGUAGCAGUGAAAUGCGUAGAGAUGUGGAGGAACACCGAUGGCGAAGGCAGCCCCCUGGGUUAACACUGACGCUCAUGCACGAAAGCGUGGGGAGCAAACAGGAUUAGAUACCCAAGUAGUCCCUGAGCGGGCUGGCAAGGCGCAU
This 472-nucleotide ribosomal RNA is filed under the name uncultured bacterium. Its description in RNAcentral is "bacterial SSU rRNA". It matches the Rfam family "Bacterial small subunit ribosomal RNA", at positions 355 to 825 of the family's 1533-position model. The record is from RNAcentral.